This is a long non-coding RNA of Oryzias melastigma (Indian medaka), 1011 nucleotides long. RefSeq lists it as uncharacterized. The record is from RefSeq and is a predicted model, not a curated record. NCBI's taxonomy places the organism in Eukaryota, Metazoa, Chordata, Actinopteri, Beloniformes, Adrianichthyidae. The transcript is spliced from 2 exons.
UCUAGAGUGGGAUGGGGGGGCUCUCUUGCUCCCUCUCAACUUGAUCUGUGUUGACCCUCUUUCUGUCCUCACCUCCUCCUGUUCUUCUGUUUUUAGCAUCAACAUGCUGAAGCUGCCAGAAUACCCCAGCAAGGCGGUCCUGCAGGAUCGGCUGCUGGUGGCUCUGCACUGUGGGAGCUAUGGAUACACCAUGGCCUGAAGCUAUGGGCUGUGCAGCUGCCUCUUCUGGCCAUGCAGUGCUCCCCUUUUCUCUUUCAGAACUCGCUGGUUCCUGCUGCAGAGCUGAGGGGCCUCUAGUUUUUACCUGCUGCACAAGUGAAGUUUUCACUGCAUCCAAACCAUCCAGAAUGACCAUCCAUACCACAGGUGGAUGAGGACACUUAACCCCUGCUAACUACAAGCUGGCCUUAUGGAGCUGCAGCGUGAGGUUCUACGUCUAACUUUGUCCAGUUUCUGAUAUCCAAGUUUGGUUUAUGCUGACUUGGAUCUGAUUGGUCCAGGAAGUCAGACCUGCUGGCCUGAGGGCUAGCCGCUUUUUAGUUAUUUAACAUAUCCAGUCAAAUCUCUAGUUUUUUAUUCCAUACAUGAGCUUGACUUGCUGUUUUCCCCUUUUUGCUGCUCCUUACGCUGCUGUCUGGACUUUUAGUUCUCUGGUUCUGGACUGUCUCCCUUCUGAUGUUGGUGUCAGAGAUGAUGCUGGAUCUUAAAGUUCCUUCUUGAAUCAUUGGGUGUUUGCUGUAAAUCUGCAAUGUUCUAUCCUUUUGGAGUUGUCAUGUGAGGUGUCUAUGCUGUCAGUGUUGGACAGAGGUGCCAGAAAAGGACAGCUGGAGUUUCUCCACAGCCCAUCUUUGUUCAAGCAGACCAAGAAAAGAAUGUUUCACUUUUUGUUCUGUUUCCAUUCUUACAGGGAUUACAGACAUUCAUUUCUCAUACCAUUGAUGAGCAUUUUUCUCUCUGAAACAUGUAAACAUUUGCUCUUAAUUGUUUGUAAAUAUAAUCUUUUUUUAAGGA